UGGCCAUAAUUUUAGUUAUGUAGGUCCAAACGAGGUUUCGUUUGAAGUGUUGGAGAGCUAACGUGCAGAGCUACCUCAUGGCAGUACUUGGAGAAAUAAUUGAUUUGUAGUCGUGUGUUUACUGUAGAAAUGUAUGAGAUGACAUGUAUGACUAAUUAGAUAAUCGUUGUGUUUACUUAAUAACGAGUUGAUGUUAUAAUGAUUUAAAAUGAUUGAAUAUUAUGCGAAUAUGAAUUUGAUGAGCUGCCG
RNAcentral lists this long non-coding RNA (249 nucleotides) under Lathyrus oleraceus (garden pea). Its description in RNAcentral is "Pisum sativum (pea) long non-coding RNA (PSAT_LNC013796)". Lineage: Eukaryota; Viridiplantae; Streptophyta; Magnoliopsida; Fabales; Fabaceae. The record is from RNAcentral.